AAAAUGCUUUAUGCCAAACGACUUUUUGCCAAAAGGCUUUAUGCCAAACGACUUUAUGCCAAAUGACCUACCACCGUCUCUUGUUCCUGAGAGAUUUCCCGGUUUAUUAAUUAGUUACAUGUGAUAGCUGUACGCAAAAAUCCAGAGAAAUUAUUGAAAACUUUAAAAUUCAUGUUUUUUGGAGAGCUUGAAUAUCAAAGUCAAAGCUCCAUUACGCGAAAUCGGUUCGUAACUUAACGUUAAUAAAAGCUGAACACACAGGGGUUGCUAACACUUCUUGGGAAGGCCUUGACAGAAAAUACAAUUCAGAAAACUUUUGCCAUAACAAUAAGAAACAUUUGGUUGCAGGUAAAGGCAGUAGUAGGCAAGUCGUUAAUGUUAAUGCUUGAUCAACGGAAAAUAUGAACGGUUGAAUGACUUUUAACUUUAAGCUGCUUUGCAUCAUUGAAAAAUAAUCAUGAAAUUCCUUCAUUCACUAUCCUCCAAAAGGGUGCGAAUUCAGGAAUUAAAAUUCAUAAUUCUGGUGCAGGUGAUUAAGCAUACGCCACUCCAAAUUUGUUAUAAAAAUUAAGUUUUUAAUGGAUUUCCAUGUUUUCCUGCCAAGCAUAGACUGAACAGCCUUCAAAACUCUUGUGGUCGUUUGAACAACAGUUUGCUUCUGUAUCAGCUAAGUUGAAAUUUAUCAGUUCAUUUUUCUGGUGGUUACCGCUUCGAAAAUUACACGCUUUUAAAUAUAUUUCACGCUGAAGCUACCAAAUACAAAACAAUCUGGGCACGCUAAAACUAAAUAACACAAUUUGGAGUUAGACAUUGAAUAAACACAAGUUUAGAACAAUUCUGCGAGACUUUGUUUCAGAGUGAUUGUUGUAAUAUAGAUUUGUCGAGGUGGAACGUUCAUACACAGAUUAUAGCACUCAUUUCAUUCUUUAGCAAGAGUCAUAUAAAAGCUAUUCCUGUGGAUGCAGCCAGUUGGUUUUUGUAUUAUCAAACGUCUUUGAAAUCAUGAAUCUCAACAUUUUUCUUAUCCUGGCAUUUGUAAUGUUGGCAUUGUUUGAAUGCCACGCUUCCGCAGUGAUGAAAGAAAAGCGUUCGCUGUUGCAUACAAUCAAACGAUCUGUUGACCAAGACUGUGAUGGACCAGGAAGGUGUGACAUCAUUAUAUAAAUAUUGAAGCAAAAAGAGA
Long non-coding RNA from Aedes aegypti (yellow fever mosquito), 1183 nucleotides. RefSeq lists it as uncharacterized. The transcript has 2 exons. The record is from RefSeq and is a predicted model, not a curated record. NCBI's taxonomy places the organism in Eukaryota, Metazoa, Arthropoda, Insecta, Diptera, Culicidae.